RNAcentral lists this non-coding RNA (27 nucleotides) under Rattus norvegicus (Norway rat). Lineage: Eukaryota; Metazoa; Chordata; Mammalia; Rodentia; Muridae. The record is from RNAcentral.
CACUGCCUAUUGUCACUUAAGACCCAA